This 720-nucleotide ribosomal RNA is filed under the name uncultured bacterium. RNAcentral describes it as "bacterial SSU rRNA". It matches the Rfam family "Bacterial small subunit ribosomal RNA", at positions 46 to 812 of the family's 1533-position model. The record is from RNAcentral.
GCCUAACACAUGCAAGUCGAACGAAGUCUUCGGACUUAGUGGCGGACGGGUGAGUAACACGUGGGAACGUGCCUUUAGGUUCGGAAUAACUCAGGGAAACUUGUGCUAAUACCGAAUGUGCCCUUCGGGGGAAAGAUUUAUCGCCUUUAGAGCGGCCCGCGUCUGAUUAGCUAGUUGGUGAGGUAAUGGCUCACCAAGGCGACGAUCAGUAGCUGGUCUGAGAGGAUGACCAGCCACAUUGGGACUGAGACACGGCCCAAACUCCUACGGGAGGCAGCAGUGGGGAAUCUUGCGCAAUGGGCGAAAGCCUGACGCAGCCAUGCCGCGUGAAUGAUGAAGGUCUUAGGAUUGUAAAAUUCUUUCACCGGGGACGAUAAUGACGGUACCCGGAGAAGAAGCCCCGGCUAACUUCGUGCCAGCAGCCGCGGUAAUACGAAGGGGGCUAGCGUUGCUCGGAAUUACUGGGCGUAAAGGGAGCGUAGGCGGACAUUUAAGUCAGGGGUGAAAUCCCGGGGCUCAACCUCGGAACUGCCUUUGAUACUGGGUGUCUUGAGUGUGAGAGAGGUAUGUGGAACUCCGAGUGUAGAGGUGAAAUUCGUAGAUAUUCGGAAGAACACCAGUGGCGAAGGCGACAUACUGGCUCAUUACUGACGCUGAGGCGCGAAAGCGUGGGGAGCAAACAGGAUUAGAUACCCUGGUAGUCCACGCCGUAAACGAUGA